This is a regulatory RNA element of Alkaliphilus metalliredigens QYMF, 121 nucleotides long. It matches the Rfam family "Molybdenum/Tungsten riboswitch aptamer (Moco RNA motif)". NCBI's taxonomy places the organism in Bacteria, Bacillati, Bacillota, Clostridia, Peptostreptococcales, Natronincolaceae. The record is from Rfam.
AAUAAAAUUUAUUUCCGAGUUACUUUUCCUAAGGGCAAACUGUCUAAGGUUAGUGGCCGAUAGGUACCUAGAGAAAUUUUUGUGCCUCCCAACAUUGGAAAGGAAAUAUACUAGCUAUUUA